GAAUGUGAGGCUGACCUAGCUGAAACCCCUGAUCACUAGGGUUGAUCUGGUUGAUCUGGCUGGCUAGACAGGUGCCCCCCCCCCCCCCCCCCGCUCACACUCUCCGUUUGUGUGCUCUCUGAAGCUGUGCACUUGGCAGAAGAGGACUACCUCCCCAGAUUGAGAACGUUCUUCAGUCAAGGUACAUGAGUAUUGUAGGUUGGAGGUUCCCAAGUUAGAACCUCCCAACAAACUCUCAAAAUGGGCUUAAACUAACAUUGGUUUCCAAAAAGAAAACAAAGCAAAAUACAAGAAAUGCCUUU
RNAcentral lists this small nuclear RNA (302 nucleotides) under Tupaia belangeri (northern tree shrew). RNAcentral describes it as "7SK RNA (ENSTBEG00000020772.1)". It matches the Rfam family "7SK RNA". Rfam says of the family: 7SK was discovered as an abundant small nuclear RNA in the mid-70s but a possible function has only recently been suggested. Two independent studies have found that 7SK RNA binds the CDK9/cyclin T complex (known as elongation factor P-TEFb). Lineage: Eukaryota; Metazoa; Chordata; Mammalia; Scandentia; Tupaiidae. The record is from RNAcentral.